UUUAAAGUACCUCCUUCCCUGUGGAAUUUCUGCAAAUCAUUUACUCAAAUGCCAAGAUACCAUAGAAGCAGCUGUUUCUGAGAAAAUUUGUUCAGGCUUACAUAUUUGUUGUGAUGAAGAAUAUUGCAUUAAAGAAUCCUUUGCUGCUGCACUAGGAAGCAUGCUGUGCUCUACCCUGAAGAGAGGGUUAAACAAUGGUUCUGAGGGGCAGGUGCACCCCUUAGUCAAGAACUUUCAACCCUGGCUCAUGCAGUGACACAGUUUGCAAACCUGCUGGCUAAUUCUCCAAAACAAUUUGAUAGUGCUCCUUCAAUAUUAAAUAGAACACGAGGAUGGCUGCUGAUGAAAGAUAACAACAGCUGAAGGAGGCAGUGCAAAUGGAAGUCAACUACCAUCUUCAGCAGAUUAAGACUUCCUUGAAUAGUAUGCAAGAAAAUUAUGAAGAUUCCUUCAAAGCAUGAUUUCCGUGGUGACUGCAGAAGCAGGACAGUGCCUGUGGGACAUGGAUUUAGAAACUCCAAAGUGGGUCUCUUCAUCUUCCUGAUAUAUGGGGUGUACAACACAGAGCACUGAAGGGGGCACGGGCCCUUAGAGAGAUGCGGAAAGCGAAAAGCAUCUCCUGAUGAUUGUCCAACACCCGAAGCUGCUUCAGAACACGGAUUUUCCAUCCCAUUUCUGUCUCAGCAACGAGCUAUUUGCGGACUCGCACCCGCAGCGUCCCGGUGGCAGCGG
Molecule: long non-coding RNA, 732 nt
Filed under: Anas zonorhyncha (Eastern spot-billed duck)
Lineage: Eukaryota; Metazoa; Chordata; Aves; Anseriformes; Anatidae
Description: lncRNA (ENSAZOG00000014683.1)
Source: RNAcentral